UACGAAGGGAGCUAGCGUUGUUCGGAAUCACUGGGCGUAAAGCGCACGUAGGCGGAUGUGUCAGUCAGGGGUGAAAUCCUGGAGCUCAACUCCAGAACUGCCUUUGAUACUGGCGAUCUUGAGUCCGGGAGAGGUGAGUGGAACUGCGAGUGUAGAGGUGAAAUUCGUAGAUAUUCGCAAGAACACCAGUGGCGAAGGCGGCUCUCUGGGACGGUACUGACGCUGAGACGCGAAAGCGUGGGGAGCGAACAGG
This 253-nucleotide ribosomal RNA is filed under the name uncultured bacterium. RNAcentral describes it as "partial 16S ribosomal RNA". It matches the Rfam family "Bacterial small subunit ribosomal RNA", at positions 524 to 776 of the family's 1533-position model. The record is from RNAcentral.